Molecule: ribosomal RNA, 433 nt
Filed under: uncultured bacterium
Lineage: Bacteria
Description: partial 16S ribosomal RNA
Rfam family: Bacterial small subunit ribosomal RNA
Source: RNAcentral
AACGAACGCUGGCGGCAUGCCUAACACAUGCAAGUCGAACGAGACCUUCGGGCCUAGUGGCGCACGGGUGCGUAACGCGUGGGAACCUGCCCUUAGGUUCGGAAUAACUCCCCGAAAGGGGUGCUAAUACCGGAUAAUGUCUUCGGACCAAAGAUUUAUCGCCGUUGGAUGGGCCCGCGUUGGAUUGGCUAGUUGGUAGGGUAAAAGCAUACCAAGGAGACGUUCCAUAGCUGGUCUGAGAGGAUGAUCCGCCACGCUGGGACUAAGGCACGGCCCAGACUCGUACGGAGGGGAGCGGUGGGGAGUAUUGGACGAGGGGGGAAAGUGUGGUACAGCAAUGCGGGGUGAGUGGUGCAGGCCGUAGGGUUGUGAAGCUCUUUUACCCGGGACGAUAGUGACGGUACCGGGUGAAUAAGCUCCGGCUAACUACGUG